RNAcentral lists this ribosomal RNA (164 nucleotides) under Halopeplis amplexicaulis. RNAcentral's name for it is "5.8S ribosomal RNA". It matches the Rfam family "5.8S ribosomal RNA". Rfam says of the family: 5.8S ribosomal RNA (5.8S rRNA) is a component of the large subunit of the eukaryotic ribosome. Lineage: Eukaryota; Viridiplantae; Streptophyta; Magnoliopsida; Caryophyllales; Amaranthaceae. The record is from RNAcentral.
AAUACGACUCUCGGCAACGGAUAUCUCGGCUCUCGCAUCGAUGAAGAACGUAGCGAAAUGCGAUACUUGGUGUGAAUUGCAGAAUCCCGUGAACCAUCGAGUCUUUGAACGCAAGUUGCGCCCGAAGCCUUCUGGCCGAGGGCACGUCUGCCUGGGCGUCACGC